UACGAGAGGUCCAAGCGUUAUCCGGAUUUAUUGGGCGUAAAGGGUGCGUAGGAGGUUGUGUUAGUCUUUUGUUAAAGGUCCCGGCUUAACCGGGAAGAUGCGGAAGAAACGGCACAACUUGGAGGAUGCCAGAGGCAAGCGGAACUCACGGUGUAGGGGUGAAAUCCGUUGAUAUCGUGGGGAACACCAAAGGCGAAGGCAGCUUGCUGGGGCAGUCCUGACUCUGAGGCACGAAAGCGUGGGGAUCAAAAAGG
RNAcentral lists this ribosomal RNA (254 nucleotides) under uncultured bacterium. Its description in RNAcentral is "partial 16S ribosomal RNA". It matches the Rfam family "Bacterial small subunit ribosomal RNA", at positions 524 to 776 of the family's 1533-position model. The record is from RNAcentral.